UACGGGGGGGGGCAAGCGUUGUUCGGAAUUACUGGGCGUAAAGGGCUCGUAGGCGGCCCACUAAGUCCGACGUGAAAUCCCCAGGCUUAACUUGGGAACUGCGUCGGAUACUGGUGGGCUUGAAUCCGGGAGAGGGAUGCGGAAUUCCAGGUGUAGCGGUGAAAUGCGUAGAGAUCCGGAGGAACACCAAAGGCGAAGGCAGUGUCCUGGGGAGUACCUGACGCUCAGGUGCGAAAGCCAGGGGAGCGAACGGGG
RNAcentral lists this ribosomal RNA (255 nucleotides) under uncultured bacterium. RNAcentral describes it as "partial 16S ribosomal RNA". It matches the Rfam family "Bacterial small subunit ribosomal RNA", at positions 524 to 777 of the family's 1533-position model. The record is from RNAcentral.